GCCGCCGGGCUCCCGCAGGGCUCGAGCUCGCCCGGGGAAGGCGGCGGGGCCGCGCGGUUUCGGCGAAGAGAGCGACGGCCGCUUCUCUUGAGGUUGACGGCAGUGGAGUGACGCUGGCCCUCUCGGCGGCUGCCAGACCCGAGUCUCUCCGCGGGUGCGGGGCAGAGCCGUGCGGGAUCCUGGAACUGCAGUGACAGCCUCUUCUUAAGACCAAGGGCGUCCGGGGGCUUCGUACAUCUUCCAGCUCGGAGCUGCUCAUCGGGAGGGCGGCAGCCGCCUUCUCUCCCAGAUACACCGUGGUUCGCCAUCGGGAAAGUAAGGGAGCGCUGGGUCUUGGAGAGCACAGACCGCUAGCUGACCUGAACACAGGGGACGUCAGGAUCUGGCUCCCAGCCCCUGCCCUCUGAAGGUGCGCUGGUGACUGGUGAGCAGGACCGCCCCUCCCUGCCCAGAGCCUCCAGAAUGCCGCACUGUUUCUGCCAGCCUUACCCUCGUCUUGCCUCCCGGCCACCCACCAGCCUGGAACCACAGAGUGCCGGCUCGGCUCCCGACCCCCCCCAGAGAGCUGAGUGAGGUGACGGACGACAGGCUCCCCUGGCUGUGUGGCAAGAGCGUGCACGCCCAGGCAGUCCACUGCAGGGGACUCCUGGGAGGGAAAGAGUCACGGAUUGCUGUGUUCUGGCUAGCUCCCCAGGGGCACUAACCUAGAGGUGGCAGCGGGCACUAGGAGGCCCUGAGUGGCCCUGGGGAUAACCGAGGGGUCCUGUAGAAUGCAGAUCAUGAAUCUAAAACGUGUCUGUCCCGAGUAGGAUGAGGAAGUCUGUCUGCAUUCAGUCCUCACAAGCAGCCAGUGGGCAGGGGCCGGGGGACCAGUUCCAACACCACUGCCAGUGCCUUGCCACUGCAGUUGGCCGUCCCACUGUUACUUUGCAUGUCUCACCUGUAAAACGGUCACCUCAGCAGCCACCUCUACAAGGUGGGACCCCUACCUUCCUGUCACUGCUAAUGAGACGAGAGACGCACAGCCGAACCAGUCAGCUCCUCUCCUGGGACCCAAGACUGGAAUUGGAACCACCGUCCUGUCACGUCUGUUUGUGAGAAGUGAGAUGGAGUAGGACUGUCAUCUUCCACCCUGUGCGUGGAGACAGGGUAAUGACCAAGGGACUGUGUGAGCCAGGGACAGGGAGCCAGACCCAGCAGCUGACUCAAGAUGGUUUGUGAUGGUUCCCACUUUGCUCUCGUGGGAGACCCACAGCCUUUCAAGGUGGCCCGGCUUAUCAGAAAGCAGCCUCGGGUCCCUCCCGUACCUCUGCGUCUUUUAUCUAAAGGGCCUCUGAGUGAAUUUCUGUUUCUUCCGACCCAAGGAGGCUGGGGGAGAGCAGGGACAAAAGGUUGAUCCGUAGGAGGCUACGGUAAUAAAAACACAGAGUCAGGAGUAAGGAAGGUGAACGCUCUGCUCUGUUCUGCCCAGGCUCCCCCUGAAGUGUCCUGCUGGCUUAUAGGUGUGGAAUAUUAAGAGGACAUAGCCUGGUUAGAAUGCCUUCAGGAGAGAGGAACCAGAUAACAAGGACAAGAGCCCUUCUUUCUGGAACCCUUUACCCUGGAGUGCCUGGGAGAUCGGCACGUGUGCCUUCAUUCACGUGGUCACCGACUGCCCACUGGGAGCCUGGCUGCCGAAGGCCCCGUACAGGCCAGGCCACUGAGGGUCCCCCGUGCACCAGGCUGAGAACAAGACAGGUGAGACCCCGCUCUCAAGGAACUCACAUUCUAGUGGAGAGAGACAGAACCCAGUUUUAUUGGGGGAGGGGGUGCAACUUCAGAAAAAGAAUAUAAAACCUAGUCAUGAGCUGACAUAACGGGGGGCACUUUAGAUCUGAGGGCUCAGGGAGGCCUCCUGGAGAGGAUCACACUGAAGGGCAAGAAGAAGGGGCCGGGGGGCGUCUGAUAGCGUGUGGAACCCACACGGCCAUCACAGCCACCACCGUCAUUUUAAGCACAUUCCAAAGAAUGACUGGACUUGAAGUACGUUCUGAGUUUGCGUUACAGACCUGUCUGCCCGUCUGGAACUUCCUUAGAGCCCAUCCCACAAAACAGUAGCGGGGCUCUGUGAGGUGCGCCGCGUGCAGGCCUGCGUCCCCAGAGCCGGGAGGCCUUCUCCGUCUCACCCUCAGAGCGAACCUCCAAGCCGCAGCCCAUCUGUGGAUGAAGAAGCCAGGACUUGUAAGGCAUAAAGCCGGCGCACGGGGGAGCCGGCUGUGGUUGCCCACCUCUGUGUCUCAUUCGGUCACUUCCUCCCCCAGGGGACGGGAAAGAGCUGCAGAGGUGUGGUAGGAUUCAGGCCUGGGUCCCCGGCGUCUGCAGAGAACCUGCCGCCUGCAGUCGAAGGGGAGAUUUUCGUGGUCUCGGCGUGCAGUGCCAUGUCCCCAGCCAGACCUGGAGGCAGCUUGACGUUCAGGAAAGACAUCUGGGUCUCAGCCAUAAUUGGCCUGCACCAGGCUCAUGGUCCACCAGGCACGAUGGGACAAACGGGAGGGUGCAGAAGCCGCUGCUGCGCACAGGCGGAGUGACCUGGGAGGUGGUCUUGACUCCCUCCGUCUCACAUCCCUCAUCCUUAUCAAGGGGAGCUCACGGAGAGUGCUCUCAGCAGAGCCCUGGGAAAGCAAAGGUAGCCCCAAGCUCCCGAGUGACCGUGGCCCACCGUGGCCCCAGGGACUGCACACCUGCUUGCAGAGAAUGUCGGGGUGGGGUGGGGCACACUCUAUCUCCGUCCGCGUGUGAGUGUCCAGCAGCCCCAACAGAAAUGUGGCAGGGGCCACAGGCCUGAUUUUACGCUUUCUCGUGGCUCCGUUAGGAAAGUAACAAGAGGGGCGCCUGGGUGGCUCAGUGGGUUAAAGCCUCUGCCUUCGGCUCAGGUCAUGGUC
Neogale vison (American mink) is the source of this 2921-nucleotide long non-coding RNA. RefSeq lists it as uncharacterized. The record is from RefSeq and is a predicted model, not a curated record. The transcript is spliced from 3 exons. NCBI's taxonomy places the organism in Eukaryota, Metazoa, Chordata, Mammalia, Carnivora, Mustelidae.